UCCAGACUCCUACGGGAGGCAGCAGUGGGGAAUAUUGCACAAUGGGGGGAACCCUGAUGCAGCGACGCCGCGUGGGUGAAGGAGCGUUUCGGCGCGUAAAGCCCUCUCGGCAGGGAAGAAGGAGGACGGUACCUGACUAAGAAGCCCCGGCUAACUACGUGCCAGCAGCCGCGGUAAUACGUAGGGGGCAAGCGUUAUCCGGAUUUACUGGGUGUAAAGGGGGCGCAGACGGCAGCGCAAGCCAGGAGUGAAAGCCCGGGGCCCAACCCCGGGACUGCUCUUGGAACUGCGCGGCUGGAGUGCAGGAGGGGCAGGCGGAAUUCCUGGUGUAGCGGUGAAAUGCGUAGAUAUCAGGAGGAACACCGGUGGCGAAGGCGGCCUGCUGGACUGCGACUGACGUUGAGGCUCGAAAGCGUGGGGAGCAAACAGGAUUAGAUACCCCAGUAGC
This 448-nucleotide ribosomal RNA is filed under the name uncultured bacterium. RNAcentral describes it as "partial 16S ribosomal RNA". It matches the Rfam family "Bacterial small subunit ribosomal RNA", at positions 330 to 794 of the family's 1533-position model. The record is from RNAcentral.